GCCACCGCUCCGCCUCCUCUUUUCGCAACAUUGACGCAAUGUAUAAAUGCUGGAACAAAAGGACAACUUCCUUGAAGCUUGGCGUAUAAUUGCAAAAAAAGAGAGCGAAAGAGAGAGAGAGCGAGAGCGAGAGAGAGAGAGAGAGAGAGAGAGAAAGCGCGAGAGAGAGCGCGAGAGAGAUACAGCCGACUCGACUGGCGCGCGCUAACCGGAGACCGGUGUGCCAGUUUGCUGGAAUAUUAUUUCUGAUUUUCGGCUCUCCGUGCACGUUACGAUGUGAUGGGUAGCCUAUAAGCGCUGCUUUCCAGGUUUCCACCGCUGAAAACAAUUAAAGUUCUUCACAGUUACACACCCAAUACCUGCCAAAUACAGCAACAUCUCUGAACCAUGCCAUGGUGAUCCAUCCGCUUUAUAAGGCUCAUUGAUAAGAAUAUUUCGAGUCUCCCUUCUCUCAAAAGUGUAACACUCAAUUUUCUCUUCUGGAGAAAGCGUGCGGGUGCUGAUCAGGCGAAAGCCCUACUUCAGGAUGGUGUCCACCAUCAGGCCAAGAACAUUUGUGGCAUUGAGGAGUUUUCGUUCAUCUGGCUCAAUGGUGACAUAUCUGUAAAAAUAAAAUAAUACAUAAACAUAAAACGUAGAUGGGAAAACAGAUGCUAUCAGUCAUCAGCGACUUGAUUAACUUUAUUGAAACAUCAAAUACAAAUAAAUAAAGUGCUGAAUUCUGUCAUAUAUUUAUUGAAGUAAAAUAUAUACCAAUGUGUAAUGCAACAUUAUAGAAGACUGUAUGCAAUGCUAGUUUACAUUUUCUCGCCUCACCUUGCAG
Molecule: long non-coding RNA, 823 nt
Organism: Hemibagrus wyckioides
Lineage: Eukaryota; Metazoa; Chordata; Actinopteri; Siluriformes; Bagridae
Exons: 3
Source: RefSeq, a predicted model, not a curated record